RNAcentral lists this long non-coding RNA (487 nucleotides) under Panax ginseng (ginseng). RNAcentral describes it as "long non-coding RNA (PGIN_LNC015305)". The record is from RNAcentral. Lineage: Eukaryota; Viridiplantae; Streptophyta; Magnoliopsida; Apiales; Araliaceae.
UGAUACCUAAAGGUUAGGCACCUUGGCUAUGAUCUCAUCUGCAAAAAAUAAUUUUAUUUUAUUUUAGAUAAUUUUACAAUAUUCACAUUUAUAUUGAACAAAAGUGGAAUGAAAACAUAGAUUUUGAAAGUUCAAGGGUGAGUUUUAAGGCCAAAAAUGGGAAAACCAUUCAUUGUGGAUUAGGUAAUAGGAGAUGAGGUUCAUUUUUGUAGACCAAAAGGCCAUGGAAUUUAACGUCAUUCCCCACAAACAAAAUAGAAUAAUAGAGACUGCCCUUUGGAUUUAUAUCUUUCAAUUCGAGGAAUCAAUCAAGGAGAUCGGAUAACAAAUUGGAUAAGAAAAUUGAACGAUGGGGAAAUUUUGAAAAGUUAAUAGAUUUUGGGGCUUGUUUAGCAAGUCCUAAAAUAAUGUAAAAUUGAAAUCUAAACAAUUAACUGGUAGGUUUAAUAAUCAUUUUCUUUUAUUUGUAAGCUAUGUAGGGUUGCAG